UGAACGCUAGCGACAGGCUUAACACAUGCAAGUCGAGGGGUAACAGGGUAGCAAUACCGCUGACGACCGGCGCACGGGUGAGUAACGCGUAUGCAACCUGCCUAUAACUGGGGAAUAGCUCCCUGAAAGGGGAAUUAACACCGCAUAACACUAUUGAUUCGCAUGGAUUAGUAGUUAAAUGUAGCGAUACAGGUUAUAGAUGGGCAUGCGUGACAUUAGCUAGUUGGUGAGGUAACGGCUCACCAAGGCUACGAUGUCUAGGGGUUCUGAGAGGAAGGUCCCCCACACUGGUACUGAGACACGGACCAGACUCCUACGGGAGGCAGCAGUGAGGAAUAUUGGUCAAUGGGCGCAAGCCUGAACCAGCCAUGUCGCGUGCAGGAAGACUGCCCUAAUGGGUUGUAAACUGCUUUUAUAGUAGAAGAAACACAUCUACGCGUAGAUGUCUGCCAGUAUACUAUGAAUAAGCAUCGGCUAACUCCGUGCCAGCCGCAGC
RNAcentral lists this ribosomal RNA (496 nucleotides) under uncultured bacterium. RNAcentral's name for it is "bacterial SSU rRNA". It matches the Rfam family "Bacterial small subunit ribosomal RNA", at positions 30 to 518 of the family's 1533-position model. The record is from RNAcentral.